Molecule: long non-coding RNA, 653 nt
Organism: Larimichthys crocea (large yellow croaker)
Lineage: Eukaryota; Metazoa; Chordata; Actinopteri; Sciaenidae
Exons: 3
Source: RefSeq, a predicted model, not a curated record
ACUACCGUUUACAUUUGGAGAACACUGCAGCUUGUUCAGGUAGGGGAACUCUUAAACAGUCUAUACGCGGGGCUAAACUCUCACAUGACCUUCUUAACGCCCUGAAGUGUAAAAUCAACGCACCCUCCUACAGUAUGGCGGUCCAUUUAAACGUAAUGUAGGUCUGUAGAGCUGCUCUUUAGCUAACUUUACUGUAACUUCCUGCUCGUCCACAACCAGUGUCACCUGUGGACAGACUCUAUGUCACCUGUGGACAGACUCCAUGUCACCUGUGGACAGACUCCAUGUCACCUGUGGACAGACUCCAUGUCACCUGUGGACAGACUCCAUGUUGCUUCAGAAUGACUUUGUGGAGGAGAUGUGUUUGGCGCCAUCAGCUGUCCUUCAUGGUGUUUCCUUUAAAACCAAAGCAGAAGUUAUGUGGGCAGCCUGGAAACUCUCACUCCAACCUUCCCCUGAGAUAUUUCACAAUGUGUCAGGCAUAAAUCAUCACGGUGAGGAUGAGAACCAGCCUCUUGCAGCUCCUCGAGACACUCGGGGACAAACAGACUCAUGCUGUAUGAGAACUGGAGAUAAUUUGAUCUGAGAGCGGUUCACCUGGGAGAGCUGGCUGUUCAGACUGCGGGAGGAUUUGUGAACUGGCUCUAAGGCAA